UACGUAGGGUGCGAGCGUUAUUCGGAAUUACUGGGCGUAAAGCGUGCGCAGGCGGUUUUGUAAGUCAGGUGUGAAAUCCCCGGGCUUAACCUGGGAAUGGCAUUUGGGACUGCAAGGCUGGAGGGCGGCAGAGGAGACUGGAAUUCCUGGUGUAGCAGUGAAAUGCGUAGAUAUCAGGAGGAAUACCGAUGGCGAAGGCAGGUCUCUGGGCUGACACUGACGCUCAUGCACGAAAGCGUGGGGAGCAAACAGG
This 253-nucleotide ribosomal RNA is filed under the name uncultured bacterium. Its description in RNAcentral is "partial 16S ribosomal RNA". It matches the Rfam family "Bacterial small subunit ribosomal RNA", at positions 524 to 776 of the family's 1533-position model. The record is from RNAcentral.